GUAACUAUUUUCUAUGCUUCUUCUUCACUUCUCAGUUUUAAGAGUGUGAUCCAUGUGCUCAAUUUAUUGUUCAAAUGUUGAAUCCAGAAGAUAUUUGUACCAGUGUUAAGAAUCAUACCGUCACCAAGUUUUUCGGAUUGGUUUCGAAAUUGGAUUUAAAAGGAUGAAAAACUCAUCCAAUCUAAAUAUGAUCGUUUGUCCACACAAAUUCGACAACAUUUCCGUCAACAAUACAAAUACGAAUAUUGUGGCUAUGCAGCCGGAAACAAGGAUCGUCUUGAUUUUCACAUUGGCAUACAUUUACAAUAUUAACCCAUUAACCUAUUAAUGGCCAUGAUCCUAUAUAUAGGAUAUUUAUUAUUGAAGACAAAUAAUUUUAAAACUAUUCAUUCAAUUUUUUUAAAAUUAAAAGCAUUUUAUUUCACGUUUAAUUAGCUUUGAAAUGAUAUAUAACUCAUCUGUAUUAUCUUUAUCUAAGUACAGUUAAUUUAAUCUUGAUUGUCAAAAAGUCGGCUUUUCUGAAUGACUGAAUGGAUUUAAGAAUUCAAAGUGUUGUAAGAUCAUUUUAUAUUCCGAAAAUGAUAAUAAUUUAUAUUAGAAAAAUGUAAAAUGAUCUUCAAAUAACAUUUUUAAUUACGAGUUAUCAAAUCCAAAUUAGAACUAAUUACCGCAAUGAUGAUUUCCCGGUGAUCCUAUAUAUAGGAUCAUGGGCAUUCAAAGUACUGAAAUAUCAACUUCUGGUAAUUAUUGAAACCUAUCUAUUACAUCUUAGUAUCUCUUGUUUUCUAUGUAGGGCUAGCAUAUUUUCCCAAACAAAAAUCCGGACAAUUCAUUGAUCAGUAUUUCUCAACUAUAGGAUCACCAUCUUUAUUACUUACUAGUAGAUAUCGGUAUCUAUUUAUUUAUUCAAUCAUCAAUUUGUAUGAAAAAGACGGUACUGAUUGACUGUAUUUAUUUAUUAACAUAGAAAUAAAAUAUGCCAUUUUCGUAUGAAUUACACAAUUACAUUAUCUAAUGCAGUUCAAUUAUAAUUAAUUCAGUGAUAUAUCAAAC
Dermatophagoides farinae (American house dust mite) is the source of this 1053-nucleotide long non-coding RNA. RefSeq lists it as uncharacterized. The record is from RefSeq and is a predicted model, not a curated record. Lineage: Eukaryota; Metazoa; Arthropoda; Arachnida; Sarcoptiformes; Pyroglyphidae.